UUCCGGUUGAUCCUGCCGGAGGUCACUGCUAUUGGGGUUCGACUAAGCCAUGCAAGUCGACUGGUCUUCGCGACCAGGGCGGACGGCUCAGUAACACGUGGGCAACCUACCCUCAGGUCAGGGAUAACCCCGGGAAACUGGGGAUAAUACCUGAUAGGUAAAGACAUCUGGAAGGAGUCUUUGCCCAAAGCUCCGGCGCCUGAGGAUGGGCCUGCGGCCGAUUAGGUUGUUGGCGGUGUAACGGACCACCAAGCCUAAGAUCGGUACGGGCACUGGGAGGUGGAGCCCGGAGAUGGGGGCUGAGAAAAGGCCCCAGGCCCUACGGGGCGCAGCAGGCGCGAAAACUCCGCAAUACGCGCAAGCGUGACGGGGGGACCCCAAGUGUCAUGCCUUCGGGUAUGACUUUUGCAGAGUGUAAAAAGCUCUGCGAAUAAAAGCUGGGUAAGACCGGUGCCAGCCGCCGCGGUAACACCGGCAGCUUGAGUGGUGACCACUAUUAUUGGGCCUAAAGCGUCCGUAGCCGGUUCUGUAAGUCCUUGGGUAAAUCCACCCGGUUAACGGUUGGCCUCCCAGGGAUACUGCAGAACUUGGGAACGAGAGAGGUCGGAGGUACUCCGGGGGUAGCGGUGAAAUGCUGUAAUCCCCGGGGGACCACCAGUGGCGAAGGCGUCCGACCAGAGCGUGUCCGACGGUGAGGGACGAAAGCCAGGGGAGCGAACGGGAUUAGAUACCCCGGUAGUCCUGGCCGUAAACGCUGCCCGCUAGGUGUUGCACGCUCUACGGGGGCGUGCAGUGCCGAAGCGAAGGUGAUAAGCGGGCCGCCUGGGAAGUACUACCGCAAGGUAGAAACUUAAAGGAAUUGGCGGGGGAGCACCACAAGGGGUGAAGUCUGCGGUUUAAUUGGAGUCAACGCCGGG
Molecule: ribosomal RNA, 917 nt
Filed under: uncultured euryarchaeote
Lineage: Archaea; Methanobacteriati; Methanobacteriota
Description: bacterial SSU rRNA
Rfam family: Archaeal small subunit ribosomal RNA
Source: RNAcentral